AUGGAAAGUGAGUGUGGCUCCAGCAGUGCUGUGAUCACCACAGAUACCAACUACUGCAAGUCACUUGUUGUAUUUGAUGGACAUGGAAAUAGGUACUAAUAAACAGUACAUGAAGAAAAUGCAGAGAGUAAUAAGAGAAUGCAAGCUUCAACGGGAUUGGAGGACGGUGAAAAUCUCCCUUGUUCUUCUCUUGAAGGCUUAUAUUCAUUUUCCUGAGAGAUUGUGUGCCCGGCUGUAGUUUAUAGAUACCCCAGUUUCUCUAUAUUCUCGUAUUUCAGGUUUGCGCAUCAAUUUCAGGAUUUCGGGAUGAUUCUUUUUGCAGCAAUACUUUGGGGACAGUGUCAAAACCUGCUGUUUGGAGGUCGUCAAGUAUGGCAUGACCGGUGUAAUAAGUUUUGGCACUGGAAUAUGAUAGUGGUGGUUGUGCACUUGUGCUCUCUGUAAGUGCUUUAACCUUGCUGUUGCACAUCUACUUGCUACUAAUUCUCCUAGAUGGAAUCACUGUUUCUUGCACCACAAGUAUGAAAACCCGGUUCCGCCUUGGUUCCAGACCUGCCUGUAAAAGCGUUCAGUGGCUCCGUUUUCAUUUCGCCUUUUGCUCUCUUCGCGACUGUAUAGCUGUGUUUGAUUGCGUCUCACCUCUAGUCCUAACAGCUGUGGUCAGACCAUCACAAUUAUCCUUCGAGUGGUGCUUGAGGGCGGGAAACAAAACGC
This is a long non-coding RNA of Argentina anserina (silverweed cinquefoil), 714 nucleotides long. RefSeq lists it as uncharacterized. The transcript has 4 exons. The record is from RefSeq and is a predicted model, not a curated record. Lineage: Eukaryota; Viridiplantae; Streptophyta; Magnoliopsida; Rosales; Rosaceae.